RNAcentral lists this ribosomal RNA (253 nucleotides) under uncultured bacterium. Its description in RNAcentral is "partial 16S ribosomal RNA". It matches the Rfam family "Bacterial small subunit ribosomal RNA", at positions 524 to 776 of the family's 1533-position model. The record is from RNAcentral.
UACGAAGGGGGCUAGCGUUGUUCGGAAUUACUGGGCGUAAAGCGCGCGUAGGCGGUGAUCUUUGUCAGAGGUGAAAGCCUGGGGCUCAACUCCAGAAUUGCCUUUGAAACGGGAUCGCUUGAGUCCGAGAGAGGAUGGCGGAAUUCCUGGUGUAGCGGUGAAAUGCGCAGAUAUCAGGAAGAACACCCGUGGCUAAGGCGGCUCUCUAGUACGGUACUGACGCUGAGACGCGAAAGCGUGGGGAGCGAACAGG